UCUUCUCAAAUGAAAAUAAGAAAUUUUUCCUUUUCAGGAAAGGUGAAGGAAGGACAAUCCCAUUUUAUUUUACUGGAUACAGAAGUACUACAGUUGUGCAUGAGCAUUCCUUGGGAUAUGGAAAAGGAUUUUCAGACCCCUUCAUAUCAGGCUAUCCCAGUGGCCUUACUCUUGAAGAAGAGGAGAGGGCAAGGAGCCUUCUCUUCUGCACCUAGAAUGAAAAGUGAGCGCAGGCCUUCUGACUGGCAGCACCAGUGCUUUCCUGGCUGAUGGUACAGGGAUAUUGAGCUUUAAGGCAAUUCAGUAAUUUCCCUGGAACAACAUACCUUCAGGAGUGGAAGAUCUGCAAUGAAAUAUAUUUUGUCUAGAGAAUGCUUUAUUGCUCGUUGCCUAAGAACAACACCUCAUAUGGAACUUGCCUGCUUCUGACUGGUUCCUAACAGACUUGGCAGGAAUGUGUCUUUAAAAAGCAGUGCACCCCAAGCCUUCAGCUAAAGGCCUGGUGAGAUGGGUGGGUGAAAGGUGUCCAAGUUCUCCUGUGCUGUGCAGAGGCCCUGUGUGAACGAUCCAGCAUCAUGGGAAGCAAUGGAUCUACGGGAGCCAGGAGGCCGCUCUGGUGGUUUUGGGGAUUGUUACCUGGACAGCUUCAUUCAAGGGAGAAACAUUCUCAUCAGGCAGGAGCUUGAACUUGUGUAAAAGAUUUCUGCUCCAAGGUAAGCAGCUCCUGGCGUUCUUUGGUGGUAAUGAAGGCAUUCACAGCUUCAGGUGGAGCAGCAAGCCCAGCAGUUUGGGCCUCACAGACUCAUAGCAAGGCUGGAGAAAGGAUGUUAAAGAUCAUCCAGUUCCAGCCCCAACUUCUCCAGGAUGCCAGUGCUGUGAGCACAGCAGCAGUGGGGGUCACAGCUCACAUCUCAGAGGGGGAUUUGACAUUCCUCCCAUCACGCAAAGAAACACUUGAAUUCCUCUCAUUUGAGGCCAUUGACGUCUGUGUGCCAUGCCAGAAAAGUUGUUGAGAAAUAACUUUGAAAAAUCGUCAGAAAUAAGA
This is a long non-coding RNA of Hirundo rustica (Barn swallow), 1045 nucleotides long. RefSeq lists it as uncharacterized. Lineage: Eukaryota; Metazoa; Chordata; Aves; Passeriformes; Hirundinidae. The record is from RefSeq and is a predicted model, not a curated record. The transcript is spliced from 5 exons.